UACGAAGGGGGCUAGCGUUGCUCGGAAUCACUGGGCGUAAAGCGCACGUAGGCGGAUUGCUAAGUCAGGGGUGAAAUCCUGGAGCUCAACUCCAGAACUGCCUUUGAUACUGGCGAUCUCGAGUCCGGGAGAGGUGAGUGGAACUGCGAGUGUGGAGGUGAAAUUCGUAGAUAUUCGCAAGAACACCAGUGGCGAAGGCGGCUCACUGGCCCGGUACUGACGCUGAGGUGCGAAAGCGUGGGGAGCAAACAGG
RNAcentral lists this ribosomal RNA (253 nucleotides) under uncultured bacterium. Its description in RNAcentral is "partial 16S ribosomal RNA". It matches the Rfam family "Bacterial small subunit ribosomal RNA", at positions 524 to 776 of the family's 1533-position model. The record is from RNAcentral.